GAAUGGACGCUGCUCAAUGUCCGGAGGCUCACCAACUUCAUUAGCAUCCGUGGGAACAUCAGUCGGUCCUGGAAAAGAGAGAGAGAGAGAGGAGAAAGAAAGAAAGAAGUCUGUCUAGCUGCUGCUCUUCCCUAGAGAAGAGAAGAUGCUGAUGGCGAUGAGCAAGGCAAACUCGGCAUCGUUGAGCUGCAGUUCGUUCAUGGCUCUGGAGAACUCAAAGAUGGGAUUGAUGAACUCCACCUGAAGCCCUGGGGAGGAAGGGACACUGAGGGUUGUGGCGGGCCCGGGGAGAACAUCCACCAACUCAAUGUGGGGGGCUGCUAGGAAGUCACUGAAAGGUCUCCAGGUUUCUGCUGGGCAAGAACAAGCUUCUUAACUUCUCCACGUCUUCUCCUCUGUGAAAUUCGAGUCAGGUGGAAACUGGCGAGCAAAACCAGUCUGCUGGGAAUGGUAGUGCGUGGAUGUAAUUCCAGCACUUGAAAGGCUGAGGCAAGGGGAUUCCAAGUUUCAAACCAGUUUGGGCCACACAGCAAGAUCCUAUCUCAAAACAAAACAAAAACCUAUUGUGAUGGUGUGAUGGUUACGUGGUUGUCAAUUUGACAGGCUCUGAAAUAAAUCACUUAGAAAAUGGACCUCUGGGCAUGUCUGUGAGGGCCUGAAUAAAAAGAAAGCUGAGCACUC
Peromyscus maniculatus bairdii (prairie deer mouse) is the source of this 681-nucleotide non-coding RNA. The record is from RefSeq and is a predicted model, not a curated record. Lineage: Eukaryota; Metazoa; Chordata; Mammalia; Rodentia; Cricetidae.